AAAUAAUAUUCAGGCUUUAUAAAAACCUUCUAAUAUUUUUCAGGAUUAUUCUAUCAGUAACAUAACCUGAGAUGCAACAAAGAGAAUUCAGAUGCCCUGUGGGAGCCAGAGAACAACUUUCAUUUUAAGCACCCACCAGAGACUAACAACAAUUUCUGUAUCCUGCGAGAGAAAAUGUGGUUGACUCAGUACACGCCAGCCAGGGCUUCACUACUGUCCUCCAUAUGUAGAGCUUAAGGUUAAGCUCUAUCCGAGCUACUCUAAAAGUUCUAGAACUUUAUUCGACUGGUGGACGAUGCAAACUCUCAAGAUGGCCUUUGAGGCAGAGGAUCACUAAUGUGCUGUCAGCUGACUUCCCACUCCUCCCACCAACUACCUCGGCUCAGCACUCUCCGGGC
Molecule: long non-coding RNA, 398 nt
Organism: Homo sapiens (human)
Lineage: Eukaryota; Metazoa; Chordata; Mammalia; Primates; Hominidae
Exons: 3
Source: RefSeq, a predicted model, not a curated record